UGUUCGUAGUCGCGAUUCACAGUGUAGCUGGACAGUGGACUUGUUCCGCAUCCGGCCUCGGUGAACCGGAAAGGUCAGGAACGCGUCAGCGAUGAUGUGUUCUUGCUUUUCUUUCAUGAAACUUCGAGGAAAUGGGGGGGCUCAAGCCAGGCGAUACGCUACGGCGCCGCAUGGCCCAUUCAGCGUGGUACUUUCGGAGCAGAGAGCGUGUCCAGAACUUCGUUUUUGGAGGCGUCGACUGCUUACCGCAAAGGAAUGGACGGAGACAUCCGUAUUGAACAGCAAGAGGUGAAAUUCUGGGAUUUGUUCAAGACGAACAAAGGCGAAGGCAUUUGUCCAUGACUUUUCCCUUGAUAAAGAGCGAAGGUUGGGGGAUUCAAGAUGAUCAGAUACCGUCGUAGUCCCAACGGUAAACUAUGCCAGCAAUGUGUCUCGGUAAUCCCAAUUAUUAGGGGCUAUCGGGGCUUGUGGAGAAAUCGUUAGCGAUCGGGUUCUGGGGGAAGUAUGGUCGCAAGAUCGAAACUUAAAGGAAUUGACGGAAGGGCACCACCAGGAGUGGAGCUUGCGGCUUAAUUUGACUCAACGCGGGGAAACUUACCAGCGCCAGACAGCAGUGUGAUUGACAAGCGGGAGGCUUUUCUUGAUUCGUUGGGUGGUGGU
RNAcentral lists this ribosomal RNA (660 nucleotides) under uncultured eukaryote. Its description in RNAcentral is "bacterial SSU rRNA". It matches the Rfam family "Eukaryotic small subunit ribosomal RNA", at positions 625 to 1281 of the family's 1831-position model. The record is from RNAcentral.